Molecule: ribosomal RNA, 378 nt
Filed under: uncultured bacterium
Lineage: Bacteria
Description: bacterial SSU rRNA
Rfam family: Bacterial small subunit ribosomal RNA
Source: RNAcentral
UAAUACGUAGGGGGCAAGCGUUGUCCGGAUUUACUGGGCGUAAAGGGCGCGCAGGUGGCGUCAUCAGUCCGUCGUUAAAGCCUCGGGCUCAACUCGGGGUGGUCGGCGGGGACGGUGGUGCUUGGAGGCCGGUAGAGGAGCACGGAAUUCCCGGUGUAGUGGUGAAAUGCGUAGAGAUCGGGAGGAACACCAGUGGCGAAGGCGGUGCUCUGGGCCGGACCUGACGCUGAGGCGCGAAAGCGUGGGGAGCGAACCGGAUUAGAUACCCGGGUAGUCCACGCCCUAAACGGUGGCCACUAGGUGCGGGGGGUAUCGACCCCUCCCGUGCCGUAGCUAACGCAUUAAGUGGCCCGCCUGGGGAGUACGGCCGCAAGGCUA